Molecule: small nucleolar RNA, 206 nt
Organism: Syngnathus acus (greater pipefish)
Lineage: Eukaryota; Metazoa; Chordata; Actinopteri; Syngnathiformes; Syngnathidae
Product: small nucleolar RNA SNORA53
Exons: 1
Source: RefSeq, a predicted model, not a curated record
UACACGCUCCUUAGAUCCACCUCUAGAGGGCUCUGUGCUCUUGAGCUAAGCCUCUCUGCAGCUUUGCGGCUGUACAAUUGGAGGUGCUUGAGUCAUUGGCGUGUUAGAGCAGUCUACCUGUUCCCCGGCUUACCUGCACCCCUGGCAACCCUGUCCUCAAUAAGGCAGGGCAUCUCCCAGUGUUGCUAGCUUGGUGGACGGACAAC